UACGGAGGGUGCAAGCGUUAUCCGGAUUUACUGGGUUUAAAGGGUGUGUAGGCGGAUCUUUAAGUCAGUGGUGAAAUCUCCGAGCUUAACUUGGAAACUGCCAUUGAUACUAUUGAUCUUGAAUUCUGUUGAGGUGGGCGGAAUAAGUCAUGUAGCGGUGAAAUGCAUAGAUAUGACUUAGAACACCAAUUGCGAAGGCAGCUCGCUAAGCAGAUAUUGACGCUGAGGCACGAAAGCGUGGGGAUCAAACAGG
RNAcentral lists this ribosomal RNA (253 nucleotides) under uncultured bacterium. RNAcentral describes it as "partial 16S ribosomal RNA". It matches the Rfam family "Bacterial small subunit ribosomal RNA", at positions 524 to 776 of the family's 1533-position model. The record is from RNAcentral.